UGAACUUGUUGAAGUUGUUCGUGUGGCCGAGUUGGAUGUUGUUACCUAAACCUUGGCCAAUUUGAUGGUCUUGUUGUAGUGGAGUUGGAAACUGAAAUUGUUGUUGUUCUUGGAGUUGUUGUUGUGUUCUUAAGGUUCUUCACCCUUUCAUCAUCUUGUUAAUCCUUAAAGUGCAAACUAGAUCUAAAAAGGUAAAAGACAAGCUUGUAGUAGUUGUUAGUGAAAGACUUGUCCCUAUCACUUCAAAAGACUUUUCAUCUACUUUUCCUUGAUUUAAGGACCUUGUUUCAAGGAGAAAGUUCAAAGAAGUCAAGUUUUGCUUUUGAAAUUUUAACAAAAAGGCUCCAAAACCACUUUUCCCUCCAUUAACCAAAUCCACCAAUUCCAAAUUGUAUAUUGAUCAAGACGUGAAAUUGGGAAAUAAAAUUUUGAUAAAACUCGA
RNAcentral lists this long non-coding RNA (442 nucleotides) under Capsicum annuum. RNAcentral's name for it is "long non-coding RNA (CANN_LNC012060)". Lineage: Eukaryota; Viridiplantae; Streptophyta; Magnoliopsida; Solanales; Solanaceae. The record is from RNAcentral.